Molecule: long non-coding RNA, 1030 nt
Filed under: Monodelphis domestica (gray short-tailed opossum)
Lineage: Eukaryota; Metazoa; Chordata; Mammalia; Didelphimorphia; Didelphidae
Description: lncRNA (ENSMODG00000048536.1)
Source: RNAcentral
CAAUUCCUAUUUAUUGAAUCAAAUUGAAGUGUGCUCUUUGGUCCCCUCAAAACAAUUCACUAAAUCUUUAUUUUUCUCUUUAGUGACCUUCUUGUCAAAAUUGCUCACCCUUUCCAUCCUCUUUCCAGCCAAGUGUAUGCAUUCAUCCAAUUAUACCAAUGGACCUACGUCUUCCUGUGCUUUAGAAUGAAUCUCACUCCCUGGGUAGCAAAUAUUGAAGAAACCUUUAGAGAUUAUCUACCUUGGUGGAGAAAACAGGAGCACUCCUGUGGGAGACACAGAAGGAUGUUUUUAUGUAACCACUAUUGCUAGAGAUGGAAUCAAGCUUCUUGGAGAAGAAUACUCUGUUGGAUUGAUUUCUAGGUCUUUCAAAUUAUAGUGUCUGUGCUGAACCAUCUUAGGGAGUUAAGGAAGGAGUGGUGGUGGUGGUGGGGGAACUACCUUUGUCUUCAUUAGUCAUUGAAGUCCAAGGAAGUGGAUGUCAUUGUGUUCCUGAUACAUGAGCCCAACUUACAGCAAUUUUGAAGGUUUACUAUAUGACUAAAACUAUUUUAGUCAAUAAGAUUUGAACUCUUCACUUUUCUGAUUCAUUUCAGUGACAAUUUGAGCAUUUGUAUAUUUGGUAGACUAGAAGUUGUUUAAAAAAAUUUUUUUUUGCAUUUGGAAGGGAGUAUUCUUUGGUGAUAGAGUGAUAUGAAUGUCCUUAAAAAUCACAUUUCAUUGAAAUAGUAGGUCUUCUGUAUAUAUAAGUUAGGUGGUUCAGUUGAUAGUGUAUGAACUUGGAGUCAAAAAGACUCCUUUUCUUGAGUUCAAAUCAGGCCUUGGAUUCUUAGUAGCUCUGUGACCCUGUGCAAGUCUCUUAAACCAGUUUGCCUCAGGUAUUUCCUUAUGUGUAAAAGGAACUGGAGAAGAAAUGGCAAACCACUCCAAUAUCUUUUCCCAGAAAACACCAAAUGGGGACAAGAAGAGUUAGACAAGACUGAGAUAUAACUGAAAAUCAACCCAUAAAUUAAAAUAUAUUCAUUGAGAG